This is a long non-coding RNA of Passer domesticus (house sparrow), 2771 nucleotides long. RefSeq lists it as uncharacterized. The transcript has 2 exons. The record is from RefSeq and is a predicted model, not a curated record. Lineage: Eukaryota; Metazoa; Chordata; Aves; Passeriformes; Passeridae.
GGACUUCACACCUUCACCUGACACUUGCUGUGUGAGCAAGCAGAGAGAGGAGCAGCUGAAGACAGAAGGGAAAAACAACAAGUUACUAAUACUGGUCUGUAGCAGGAGUCAGGACUCUGCACAUCAGAAAGAAUUGCAGUCUUUGAGAAGUGUUGAGAAGUGGUGGCGACAGGUAAACUUGGGAUAAAACAUGGGUGAGGAGGGACUCAAGAUAUGACCACUACUUCAGAAUCUUUCUGCUUCUGUGCAGACAAGAGGAGAUGAAGGAAAAAGGAGAGGACAGGAGAAACAUGGACAGUUCUGGCUGGGAGUUGGCUUUUUUAAUGCUGCUGCAAACUGGAAAGGACUGCAGAAAGAGCAUGAACUCUUCACCCAUUCUGAGCCCUGACAAGCUUAAAAUAACUUAAGCACGUAUCUGCUUGUGUGCUCAGAGAUGUGUAUUUAUCAGGUGAUUAGGUUUAGGUUUAAUUGUUAAAGGUGGUUAGGUUUAAUUGUUCAGAACUUAAAACCAGUAAAGGAAAAAGACCUGAAGGCCACAGCUCCUUACAUUUGGUACUUCAAGGUCACUAAGGCUGUCAGGUCCUGUGAGGGUGGUGAUGGCGCAAGGGUUGACUCCAGUUGGUCAAACUCUCCCUUCCAGAGGGAUUGGACAAAGGCUCAGUGGUGGUAAAUGAUGAGGGUGAGACAGUGCCAGGGAAAUGUUUCCUUUGGUAAGUUUUUGUGCUAGCAUAAAAAUUUCCUAUUUGAGUGGUAUGAGGUUUUUUUAAUCCAAGAUGAGUAACAGGCAGAAUUCAUCAGCCUUCUUACUCAUUUCAUCCAGACAGGCCUUAGAUUCCCUCUGCACCAUUUUUGGUCCAUUAACUUGCCUUUGUAUUGCCUUCUAUUUGCUGCAUAUGCCAAUACCACACUUGACCUUUUUCAGGGCUGUUUCAGGAAGUUCUAUUGACUUCUGUAAAUGCUGUCUUGGAACAGACUAAAUAAGUCACAGUUCCUAAAUGAGAGACAGCCCAGAAGAGCUGAAGUUUAGCACAGUGUAGUAAGGAAUGGCACGGAGAGUUUCUCUUUCCAGCCAGAACAGCUAGGAUGUUGGGCUCCUGCUUUUUGGGGAUGAGGAAGGUGGCAAAGCAACUGGUUUGGCACUAGUUAAGGAUUUUAGCUAAAACAAACACAUUCUUCUUGUGAAGUCACUGCAAUGAACUGGUAUUUGUUCAAGAAAAUAUCCAGUCAGAGCAUCCUGGUCCGUAUCUACUUCAGCCAUUUUUUUUUCAGAAAGGUACACGUACAUUUGUACUUACACAGGUGAGAACAUGCUCCUAUAUUGCUGCUCUUCUGCUUCUGCACAUGGACUUUCCAUUCCUGGGGCAGCUGCAAAUGCCAGCUUUUUCCUGCUUAAAAAAAAGUCAUUAUUACUCCAUCUCACCAAAAGGUUUUAGUGCACUUAAAAUAUAGAACACUAAAAAUGGAUUAACACAACAGAGAACCAAAGUCUGAACAAGCCUUCCUAUCAGUUAAUCAUAGAAGCUAUUAGGACCAACCUGGAUGAAAGACAAAGUCAUAAUUAACUUGACAUUAAGAGCACAUUGCUGCAAUACCAUUAACGUUACUCAGAAGAAUCUUAAGAUUUUGAAUAUCCCUUCCUGCACAUGCUAUUAAACACAGAUCCAGGCUGAGAUAAAUCAGAUUGCAAUAAAGUCUGUACCUCUCUUACUGACAGAAAUAUUCCCUCUAGUUUCUGAUCUCAGUCUCCUGCAAAAAAGUUUCAGCCCAUAGUUGCUUUUAUGACAAAUGAAACAAGCAAGCAGAUGUGGCCAGAGGUGAUAGUGUGCAGAUUUUUUGACAGUUACAUCUUAAAUUACAGGAUGAUUAUGAGAACACUUAGUUUAUUAUUUAUUACAUGAGCUGUACCUUCUAGUAAUUAAUAAAACCAUCAACACCCUUUAUAAAUGCCAGAAGGUUUUUAUCUUGAAAUACAUUCUUUGCCUUCUUGCUGCUAUGAUACCACCCACCUCUGAAACCCACAAGACAGAGACACUACCACAGCAGUCCUGUAUCAUUUAAUAUUUUUGAAUAGCCCUCCACAUGAAUAAAGAUGCAACACACAGUGCACAGUUUAAUUAGUUUAUUUUUUAAAGUUCUGUCAGAAAUAUAGCUGUGCAUUAAUUACAAAAUAUAUUAAACUAUCACUCAAUUCAUCCAAGGGAACAGGAAUACUCUCAUUUUGUUCAAAUGCAAACAAAUACAAACCUUUAACAUUGACACAGAAUAAUCUUUUGCAUCCAUCAUCAAUGUAUUUGGUCUGCUGCCAUCUCUAAAUAAGAACAGAAUGGUCACCCUGAUUUCAUUAUCAAAUUUAAUCCCUUGAUAGCAAACAUGACCAGACACAUCAUGAAACUGCUUAAAAAACAACUCUAUACAUCUCACAUUAUCUGAGCUUCCACAUAUACAUUACAUACCAAUAUUUUUAGCAAAAUAAUUUUCCCUGCCCUGCAGGAGAAGAUAUUCUGAGGCAAAGUGAUAACAUGUUCAUACUAUAUUAUAAUUGGAAAAUGUGUGCUAUAGCAGCUCUGAAAAUACUAAGAGUGGGUGACUUAAACCAUGUUAAAGACAACAGAAAUUUGGAAGCUAAAUAAGCUAAGACACUUUUUAAACCACCUUGAGAUCUAGUAAUGCUGCAAAGCAUUGACUUACAGAAUGAAACCCCACUGCUGAACAAGUUACAUAGGACAUGGGUUAAUUAAAAUGUUUCUUUGAUUCAGAGACAACUCAAUGCU